GCGAAAGUGUCGGAACUGGCAGACGAGCAAGACUAAGGAUCUUGUGCUGGCAACAGCGUGUGGGUUCAAGUCCCAUCUUUCGCA
Molecule: transfer RNA, 84 nt
Filed under: Acetatifactor sp.
Lineage: Bacteria; Bacillati; Bacillota; Clostridia; Lachnospirales; Lachnospiraceae
Also listed under: 1 other name
Description: tRNA-Leu
Rfam family: tRNA
About the family: Transfer RNA (tRNA) molecules are approximately 80 nucleotides in length. Their secondary structure includes four short double-helical elements and three loops (D, anti-codon, and T loops).
Source: RNAcentral